CCUUGCAACCCAAUGGAGACUGAGGACCUUAGGGAAGAGGAAAGCUAAUGGAUGAGAAACUUCUCUCAGCGGCCAUUCCCUGGUAGUUCCUACCCCAGGCAGGUCACUUGGACCUCAGUGGGACACCAAAUCUUCAUGGUGUCAAAGACCAGAAGCUAACGCCGAGACAUUGCAAGAAAUUUUACUCUAGACUUAUACCCAAGGAAACAGGAUGCCUCUGCUUUCAUCAGUUAAAGAAUAUGAUCUCUCACCAGGAGUGGUGGAUCCCCAGUACUUCUCAAGUUGCUCCUUCAGCUCAAUUCCUGAUGACUGUGGCACAGAGGUCAGAAUAGUCUGUCUCUACUCAGCUCCUGCUUUACGAGUUGCAGGUUUCUUAUCGCAACAGAGGACUCACAAACCCACCUGAAUUUGUCCUCUGCUAAUAGCCCCUCACAGAGUACACUGUGAGCAUGGAGCAGAAACUAAGGAGUGGGAAUGGGAUGGGAAGAGUGAGGUUCCAUAGGUUGACGCUGGAAGUCUUCCAUGAUCAGCAUCAGAUGCUAGACAUCAGGUUGAAGCCAAGCCAUCAGCCGCCAAGUAACAGAUUCUGCUGGACCAGCGGGAUGUUUGACUCCUAGGACUGGCCUCUCUGUUCAGUCUGUGACAUCUAACCUCCCAAAUACAACUAGAGUGGUCUCUAGGUUGGUCA
Mastomys coucha (southern multimammate mouse) is the source of this 688-nucleotide long non-coding RNA. RefSeq lists it as uncharacterized. The record is from RefSeq and is a predicted model, not a curated record. The transcript is spliced from 4 exons. NCBI's taxonomy places the organism in Eukaryota, Metazoa, Chordata, Mammalia, Rodentia, Muridae.